This is a long non-coding RNA of Gallus gallus (chicken), 2664 nucleotides long. RefSeq lists it as uncharacterized. The transcript has 2 exons. Lineage: Eukaryota; Metazoa; Chordata; Aves; Galliformes; Phasianidae. The record is from RefSeq and is a predicted model, not a curated record.
GGAGGUGCUCCAGCCCUCUGAUCAUCUUCAUGGCCCUCCUCUGGACCCUCUGCAACAGCUCCACAUCCUUCCUGUACUGGGGGCCCCAAACCUAGAUGCAGUACUCCAGAUGGGGCAUCUCAUAAUAAGUCUCAUUAUCCUCUGAGCAGUAGCCCCGUCAGUCUGUAAAGUGCUCUGGGCAUCUUUCCUUUGACUCAGCAUUACAGAUGUUACCUCUGGAGCCUGAGCAAAUGGAUGUCUUCUGAUGGACUUGAGAAUAAUCCUGUAAGAGUUUUAUUCAGAUUCUCCCAACUGUCAUUGUUCCUCUGUGCUCCUUUGUGUACAAAGGCAAGCAUUUUAUCACAUAACCUAAUACAACGUAGGUUUGCUUGUAUUUUAGCAACUGUAUCUCCCUCUGGAGCUGGAUUGGGUGCCUGAACCAAGACAGCAGAAAAUAUGGGUUUAUUGCAUGAGGCUGAAUUAAUACUCCAGAACAACCACAGCAAAUGGAGGAAAGGCACUUGCAUUUUUUCACUGCACUAUUGUUUAUGAGCUGUAUUUCUUGUAUUUGUUUUUUAAUGCAGAUGACUUCUUUCCUGUCUUUUCAUUUUGCUCUUUUUUCUUGUUCUUUUAUUUUUUUUCCUGCAGUCUUACAGUCUGAGAGGUUUGUUUGUUUUUUGUUUUUUUCUGUGAUUCUAGGAUUAAUACUAUGACAGAAUUUUGUUUAAAAUGCAAUGUCCCACUCUGGGUUAAACUGUUUUGCUGGUACCUAUUUACUAGUUCAUGUUUGAUCUUUGUUUACAGGUCUCAAAAGGUAUUCAUCCAAUAUUAGACCAUGUCUGACCAGCUACAAUCAGAACAAUACAGAAAAAAUAGGAUUUUUUUGGAGGUUUUUUUUUUCCUUUAUGUGCCACGUGGAUGUUGACCUCCUUUAUGUUAGAGCAGAUAGCAGACCGAGGAGUGCUUGGAUCAUGCUCUAGCAUACUUAAAACAUUCUGGACAAGCCACAAAACCUUGUCAGGCAUUUAUAAUUAUGCUUCCCUCAACAUACUCUUCUGACUACUCUAAGAUGGCUCAGCCCUAGGGACAAUUUUAUAGACCGAUUUUGAUUUCAGAUUCUCCCACUUUUAUACUUGGCUCCUUUCUGAGUCUUUUUUUCUUUUUUUCUACCUAGUGGAGAAUCCAUGAUAUAUUUAUCUCAACUGCCACUAGUGAAAACAGCAUCUGAUCAUCAGACUUUGCCAGUAAGAUUCUCACUUGAAUCCAGGUGUGUCAGUGGUUUCCUGAGGUAGUACUAAAAUUUCUCUAAUUUCUAAAGGGAGCCUAUAAACAGGAGAGGAGCCAACACUUUGAAAGGGUAGAUAAUAGCAGGACAAGGGGAAAUGGUUUUACAUUGAAGGAGGAAAGAUUAAGGUUGGAUAUCAGGGGGAAGUUCUUUACCAAGAGAGCGGUGAGGUGCUGGAACAGGCUGCCAAGAGGGGUUGUGGAUGCCCCGCCCCUGGAGGUGUUCAAGGCCAGGUUGGAUGGGGCCUUGGGCAAUCUGGUCCAUCUAUUAAAUGUAGAGGUUGGCGGCCCUGCUUGAUGAUCCUUGGGGUGCCUUUCAACCCAAGCCAUUCUAUGAUUCUCUGUUCUGGACUCCAUUUAGAAUCUGUCCAGCAGAUGUAUCUGCAGGCCUCCAUCCAUGCUACGUAAGCGAGACAUGGCUUCUUUUUUGAUAGUGAUUGUUUUUCACCCAUGCUGUGCAAGAGAUGACUUAUUCUUCAAUUUCAGGUGAUGCAAAUAUCUGCUUAAAAACUGGACAUGAAGAAGACUUAACCGAAUACGUCUUUGACAUAUGGAUUUAGGAUAUCCCAUCCAAGCCAGGUGUAAUUUGAUGAGAAGUAUUUGUCAAGAUUCUAUGCCAGUCCAUAAACUUGUGAACCACUGUACAGAGCUUUGUACAUGAGGAACUCCUUGCUAGCCACUGGAUGACUUCCAGGAGGACUCUGUUGCAAGGAAACUCUUGAAUCAACUCCCUCAUUGUUUGGAAAGUUUAGCUCAUUGUGGUUUGGAUGAUCAGUGCUUAUUCCAAGAGUUCAUCCUAUGAAUUUCUCUGGGGUGGACAUAGCUAAACCUUUGAAUCCUCUGACUACUUGCAACUUGGAUUUCAUUUUUUCAAUGGCAGUGUUUUUAUGGAUCUGGCCACAGUCCUUCGGCAGACUCCUGCUUCCUGCCUCCCACAACUGGAAAACCUGAUAGAAUGAAUCAAUACAUAGAUGAGCAGAGCUCUUAAAUGCUUUCUCUUUGCCAUCCUUCUGAGAUUUUGAGAAAACAAAACAUACUACUACAUUUACAGAUUUUAAUAUUAUGUUUCCAGCAGUUGUACAGGAGACUGUUUCCAGUAUCAGAUAAAUGGAAUCAGGGCCCUUAUCAGACCCCUUCUGCCAUUGGAUCUUUCUACCGUUCUAUUAAGUACAACAAGGAGAAAACAUAAGCAAAUAGUGGGUGUACAGAAGUAACAAAACCUAAAUGUUUUAUGCAGAAAAGAUUCAACAAGUAUCUCCUAUCUACGAAGAAUGAAUCGUUUUUUCACAUUCUGUGGCAUUGCAGUACAGUCUUGGAUCAAACCACACAUGCUAACAAAAAAUAAUUGAAUGAUGCUAUUUACACUGAUCUGAUGAUGUGGAAAUAAAAUAUUGAAAGGAA